GUGGGGAUAGCGAAGUGGUCAAACGCGACCGACUCAAGAUCGGUUCCUUUCGGUUCAAGGGUUCGAAUCCCUUUCCCCACA
RNAcentral lists this transfer RNA (81 nucleotides) under Nanobdellota archaeon. RNAcentral describes it as "tRNA-Leu". It matches the Rfam family "tRNA". Rfam says of the family: Transfer RNA (tRNA) molecules are approximately 80 nucleotides in length. Their secondary structure includes four short double-helical elements and three loops (D, anti-codon, and T loops). Lineage: Archaea; Nanobdellati; Nanobdellota. RNAcentral also lists the same sequence under 1 other name. The record is from RNAcentral.